GUACCAUACUUAUUAUGUAAUUGGUGGUUGUCUCAUUUUUGUUAUUUCAAGUUCUCAACAACUUGGAAAUUGUAGAAGUAUUAUCUUUAUGCUUUUAAAGUUAACAAUAUAUAGUUUUUGGAUUCUUGUGAAUGAAAGACAAUUACAUGAUUUAUAACAUCUUAAUCUUCUGGCCUAUUGUUUGAAAAAAAGGAAAUGGUCCAUUAAUCGAUGGAGACCAAUUGUUUAAAUUGUAUGCAAAAAGAAAUGGUGAAAAUGAAGGUUCCGGUUUUCACAAUACACUAUGCUUUUUGUCUUAAUUUUCUAAAUAUUGUUCUUCAUUUCUUUCCUUCCAUUUUUAGGAAACCUGUAAAAUUUUUAUGCCUGUUAUAGAGUAGUUGCAUUUGUAGUAUUUAUGCAGAAUGUUGUUAUUUUAUAUAAAUGGUCCGUGUCAAGAGUUGGUUCAAUAUUUGAAAACUUCUUUCCAUGUACAUACAAGAAUUUCUCAGUAACAAUUUUAGUAUGAAAGACAUAAAUGUGGUCUUGCUAUUUCAUUGCUUAUGAGAGUGCACCUUAUAUGAAAAGAUAUUCAAGUAAGACAUUCUAUGAGGCUUGUGUGUUAAAUCUAUUCUCAUGUAUGGUAAGAAUUAUAUGUGAAAUAGUUGGGACCUGUUUACUUUUAGUUGUAGAAAACAGUUUUCUAUUUUUCAUUAUCCAUUUUUUAAGAAAAUUUUAGUUUUAAUUUUUCAUGUAAAACAAGGUAAAGCAUGGAAACCACAUUUACCUGUCAAUAGUAGAAAACGGUUUUCUAAUUCAAAAA
RNAcentral lists this unclassified non-coding RNA (799 nucleotides) under Hevea brasiliensis (rubber tree). The record is from RNAcentral. Lineage: Eukaryota; Viridiplantae; Streptophyta; Magnoliopsida; Malpighiales; Euphorbiaceae.